UAAGCAUGCAAGUCGAACGGUAGAGAGGUGCUUGCACCUCUUGAGAGUGGCGAACGGGUGAGUAACACGUAGGUAAUCUGCCCUGAGGCUGGGGAUAGCCCAUGGAAACAUGGAGUAAUACCGAAUAGAUCUUUUCUCCCACAAGGGGGAGAAGGGAAAGGCGCUGAGGCGCCACCUCAGGAUGA
This 185-nucleotide ribosomal RNA is filed under the name uncultured bacterium. RNAcentral's name for it is "partial 16S ribosomal RNA". It matches the Rfam family "Bacterial small subunit ribosomal RNA", at positions 50 to 228 of the family's 1533-position model. The record is from RNAcentral.